GACGAACGCUGGCGGCGUGCUUAACACAUGCAAGUCGAACGCUGAAGCUUGGUGCUUGCACGGGGUGGAUGAGUGGCGAACGGGUGAGUAAUAAGUGAGUCACCUGCCCUUGACUCUGGGAUAAGCCUGGGAAACUGGGUCUAAUACUGGAUACGACAUGUCACCGCAUGGUGGUGUGUGGAAAUGGUUUUACUGGUUUUGGAUGGGCUCACGGCCUAUCAGCUUGUUGGUGGGUUAAUGGCUCACCAAGGCGACGACGGGUAGCCGGCCUGAGAGGGUGACCGGCCACACUGGGACUGAGACACGGCCCAGACUCCUACGGGAGGCAGCAGUGGGGAAUAUUGCACAAUGGGCGGAAGCCUGAUGCAGCGACGCCGCGUGAGGGAUGACGGCCUUCGGGUUGUAAACCUCUUUCAGCACGGAAGAAGCGAAAGUGACGGUACGUGCAGAAGAAGCGCCGGCUAACUACGUG
This 472-nucleotide ribosomal RNA is filed under the name uncultured bacterium. RNAcentral's name for it is "partial 16S ribosomal RNA". It matches the Rfam family "Bacterial small subunit ribosomal RNA", at positions 28 to 507 of the family's 1533-position model. The record is from RNAcentral.